RNAcentral lists this unclassified non-coding RNA (248 nucleotides) under soil metagenome. Its description in RNAcentral is "partial internal transcribed spacer 1". The record is from RNAcentral.
GUGGUUUUUACGUAGCGCUGUGUAGUGUUUCUGUGGGUGUGUGGUCUUUGGUUUUGGUGUUGUCUUUGUCUUUUUGUUGUCCUUGUCUGUUUUUGUGCACUGCCUUGUGCGAUGCCUUGUGCAUUGCCUUGUGCAUUGCCUUGUGCGGUGCCUGGCAGUACAAACGAUCGACGGCAACACUUGGACCAGACCCAAGCCCUUGCAGACAAUAGACGUCUUUGCUUGCUUUGAUGAAACCAAAUCAAAAA